RNAcentral lists this ribosomal RNA (467 nucleotides) under uncultured bacterium. RNAcentral's name for it is "partial 16S ribosomal RNA". It matches the Rfam family "Bacterial small subunit ribosomal RNA", at positions 28 to 506 of the family's 1533-position model. The record is from RNAcentral.
GACGAACGCUGGCGGCGUGCUUAACACAUGCAAGUCGAACGGAAAGGCCCUGCUUUUGUGGGGUGCUCGAGUGGCGAACGGGUGAGUAACACGUGAGUAACCUGCCCUUGACUUUGGGAUAACUUCAGGAAACUGGGGCUAAUACCGGAUAGGAGCUCCUGCUGCAUGGUGGGGGUUGGAAAGUUUCGGCGGUUGGGGAUGGACUCGCGGCUUAUCAGCUUGUUGGUGGGGUAGUGGCUUACCAAGGCUUUGACGGGUAGCCGGCCUGAGAGGGUGACCGGCCACAUUGGGACUGAGAUACGGCCCAGACGCCUACGGGAGGCAGCAGUGGGGAAUAUUGCACGAUGGGCGGAAGCCUGAUGCAGCAACGCCGCGUGCGGGAUGACGGCCUUCGGGUUGUAAACCGCUUUCGCCUGUGACGAAGCGUGAGUGACGGUAAUGGGUAAAGAAGCACCGGCUAACUACGU